GGGAAUUAACGAGCCCAGUGAAAUGUUAUUGAUAUUGACAAUGUGGUUUAGGAAUGGUAACAUUUAUCUUAAUGUGUAUAAUACAGCUGGGUUCAAACAAUUAAUUUAAACCACUAAAUAUGCAUUUUCAUAUUCACUUUAACACAUAUGCAAACUUCUAUCAAGUAAUAAAGAGAGAUUAAAAAUUUGUUUGAAGAAAAACCUCAAAAAAAAUAAAAUCAUGCUUUCGUAGCAAUUGUAUUGUAAUUUCAGGUGAUCAUUCUCAGUGGAAAUUUCUUGACCACAGGCAAAACAUUACAUCUCUCUAAAUUGUGAAGAAGACCCACUAAAAGUUCAAGAGGUCAAUAUCAGUUUGAACUUUGACAGAUGAAAAUAGCAGAACUCAACUGACUCAAGAAAGGGAGCUGAGUUAAUACCUGGUUGGUCAGGGCCUAGUUAUUUCUAACUAGUUCAUAUACUAUUCCUUCAGAUAUUUAUUCUUCUAAAUAAAUAUCAGGGAAGGGGGGAAGAAAUGGGAAAAAGAAAGAUGUCCUUCAUGCCCGUUCAGUACCUAACGACUACAUAAAUUGGAGAAUCCACUCUCACUAGACAGACCACAGAUUCACUCUAAUUUAUGACUCUUUGGGCAAACAAGUCUUAUUUUAGGGUUUUUGUCGGCUUAGCAAUAAAUGUGAAACAGGAUUGGAUUCUCCAAUCCAUUGUUUGGUUUUUCAGUAUAAACCAACAAAUGCAGAGCUCUGGGACUAGGUCUAUGAGCUUAUUCAAAUAUCUUAACACAGAUUUAAAACAAAAAUAUUUGGAAGUGGAUUGCAACAUUUUUUCCUGUGAUUACACUCCUUUCAGUGUUACUCUAAUUAUAAAUGGUUAAACAAAGCAUAUUUGCAAAUUUGAAAGAAGGCUCCAGGUCACAUACAAAGGAGACCAAGAAAUUCCUGUCUUUUGUAUUUUGAGUAAAGCAACCUUCCUUUAAAACUUUUUCCUUAAAGUAAAUUGUUAAUAUCCAUUCAUAAAUAUGGAGGAGCAGUAUUUACACCAGUUGUCUAUCUUACUCUACUACUUAAUUAUAUAGGGUCACCAAUGGUUCAAGCUAAAAUGUAUCUGUGUGUAUAACAUUGCUGUGACAUUUAUAUUUUUCUCUAAUUACCUCUCCCUUUGUCUCAAAACAUUAGAGACAGAUAUAGCAGGAGGAAACAAAUUCAGAUUACCUAUGGCUAUUAAUUAUAUUUGAAGACGUCAUAGAAAUCUAUAUUUGCUAAACUAUUCUAAGACACCUAACAUUCCAUUCGGAGGAGAGGAGUAGACGCUUAGUCCAUAAUAACUAAAGUGUAGUCAUUUCUCUGUCAUCCAUGCCAAUGAAAUUGAGGAAUGGUUCAAAUAAGUAAGUAAUCUUUUCAAUACAAUUGGAUCAACUACCACAUACAUUAAAAGUUUUUCCAAAUUUUCAUCACAGUCCAUUCUUAAUUCAAGGCUAAUAAUUUCAGUAACAUAUCACUUAUUUACUUCUGACGCUCCAGAGGCACCUCAACCUCAACAAAUUUCUUGCUUUUAUUCUCCCAGUUGCUGAAGACAGAAACUCCACAGUCUCCAUUGACCUGUCCCUUUCCCUCAUUUCCUACAGUUAAUUAAUCUUCAUGACCUGUGAGUUCUGUCUCUGAAGUCAGUGGUUCCUAAAUUUGCUUGUACAUGAGAAAACGUAUGAGGAGAGCUUGUAAAGUGCUUAUUCCUGGUGCUCAAACCUGGAGAUUCAGUAGGUAGUGAAUCCAUAUUCUAUUUGAAGCUCCCAGAUAAUUCUGAUGCACAGUCAGGUUUGAGAAACAUAGCCCUUAAAUUUCUAAUUUAUUUUAUUCUCUCCUCCCAUAUUGAAAUUACUUCACUUGAAAUAUCUAUCUCCUAACUAGACUAUUCCAACAGCUUGCUAAAUUUGUUUCCCCUACUCCAUUAAUCCCUGUCUGUUUUGGUUGAUCCUGUACACUGAUUGUCUCGUUCUCUUUUUAAGCCUUUUAGAAAGAUUGUGGUUAUUUUUGUUGAGAGGUAGUACCUGGAGAAGCAGAGGAGGAUUUCUGGGUUGUUGAUAACGUUCAGUUUUUCAUUCUGUCUGUUGGCUACAAAGGCAUGCUCUCUUUAUGAAAAUUCACCGAGGGCUACUUUUCAAUGUGUUACAUUUUAAUUUAAGAGUUAAAACUGAUAGCUCCCCUUCAAGUACUUCUGGCUCUCCUCCCCUGUACCGCAUUUCUGAUUACUUUUCUAACAUGAUUCUGACCUUUAGUACAUGUUGUCCUCUCUCCUUAGAACAUCUUUUCUGCCUUCUUCACCUGGUAACUCUAUUAGGAACAAUCUUACCUUUAAACAGUGUUAGUUGCUUUCUAUUCCAUGUUCCCAUAACACAUUACCCAUUAACCUGUUUUUAUUACAUUAUUGUGUAAUGCUUUGUUUCCACCUUAGCAUUCCAGGUUGUAGAGUGUCUGUUUUAUUCAUAUUUCUGGCCUCCUGCAGAGAACAGCCCAGAAAUUGGUAGACAGUACGGAUUCAACAAUGCUUUUUAAAUAAAAUGAAUGAAUACAUGAAUGGAUGCUGUGGUUUCAUUGACAAAUAGGAAAAUCUGGCAUCAGAAAAUAAAGGAGUGGAAACCAAAUCCCGUGUUAGGAUGUGAAGCUAUGGUUCUUAGACACAAGUAUUUUCAGUUUGGAUGAAUCCAAGCACAAAUAAAUAAUGAGGAGCUGAAUGCUAUGUAUCACAACUAUAAUAAUCAUCUGAGCUAAUAAAGAAGUCCCAGCCUGGGAAGAAAAGGACUCCGGGUACAGCUGAGACUCCAACACCACAGGGCUUUGGCACUUUGAAUAUGUCAUCACACUGCCUUCCAGCCUCCUCUAUUUUGGAUGAUGUCAGCUGUUGGACUUAUUGGUGAAUCCCAAGUCCUUGUGAUACCUCAUGGAUUCAAGAUCACUUUUCCAUCUCUAACCUCAUAUCUGUACUCCAGGACAGUUCAAAAACAAGGGAGCAGCAAAAGAUGGACUGGGAACUAUAUGACAGAUAAAAAGGUUUUUAGAAACAUCCAACAGAUUCUAAUUCUCUCUCCUUGGCCAGCACUAUAUUACAUAGCACCUGCAGUUACCAAAGGAGGCUGGGAAAUACACUUUAGGAAGUUGAACAUGUUACCACUAACAAAAAUCAGACUUCUCUUAGUAAGAAAAGAAUGACAAAUUGGUAUCAGAUGGAAAACUAGUAGUGUCAGCCACAGCGAGACUGUGGAAAACCGGGAAUACUCAUCCACUGCUUCUGGGAGGUGUAAUUUGGCACAGUGACUUUGAAGAAUAAUUUAGCUAUAGCUACAAAAGUUGGAGAAAAAAAUGAAUGAACUAAGACUACUGACAUCAGCAUGGACAAAUCUCGAAAACAAUUUUUAAAUAAAAAAAUCAAGUUGCG
Molecule: long non-coding RNA, 3423 nt
Organism: Equus caballus (horse)
Lineage: Eukaryota; Metazoa; Chordata; Mammalia; Perissodactyla; Equidae
Source: Ensembl